RNAcentral lists this non-coding RNA (528 nucleotides) under Bacillus thermotolerans. Its description in RNAcentral is "Quasibacillus thermotolerans Bacterial large subunit ribosomal RNA". It matches the Rfam family "Bacterial large subunit ribosomal RNA", at positions 1 to 521 of the family's 2925-position model. The record is from Rfam by way of RNAcentral. Lineage: Bacteria; Bacillati; Bacillota; Bacilli; Caryophanales; Bacillaceae.
GGUUAAGUUAGAAAGGGCGCACGGUGGAUGCCUUGGCACUAGGAGCCGAAGAAGGACGGGACUAACUCCGAUAUGCUCCGGGGAGCUGUAAGUAAGCUUUGAUCCGGAGAUUUCCGAAUGGGGAAACCCUCUGUCCGUAAUGGGACAGAAUCCCUGCCUGAAUACAUAGGGCAGGAGAAGGCAGACCCGGGGAACUGAAACAUCUAAGUACCCGGAGGAAGAGAAAGCAAACGCGAUUCCCUGAGUAGCGGCGAGCGAAACGGGACCAGCCCAAACCAGAAGGCUUGCCUUCUGGGGUUGUAGGACACUCUAUACGGAGUGACAAAGGAAUGAAGCAGGCGAAGAGGUCUGGAAAGACCCAUCAGAGAAGGUAACAAUCCUGUAGCCGAACCUUCAUUCCCUCCAGAGUGGAUCCUGAGUACGGCGGAACACGUGAAAUUCCGUCGGAAUCCGGGAGGACCAUCUCCCAAGGCUAAAUACUCCCUAGUGACCGAUAGUGAACCAGUACCGUGAGGGAAAGGUGAAAAG